GCCAUCUGUCAGCACAAUGCCAAGCAAACCUGCGCCCAUCAAGAAGUCCCCAGUCAAGCAGGCGGCCAAGAAGGCUCCUGCGCCUGCGCUCGUCCCGGAGCCUGAACCGGCCCCCGUAGAGGCUGCACCUGCGGAUGCUGCACCUGUGGAAGCUGCUGCGAUUGAGGAGACAGCUCCCGCACCCGAGGGAGAAGCAGCCCCAGCAGAGGACACCCCCACUGCCGAAGGAGGCACCCCAGGAACAGUUCUUGUGAGAAGCAGCACAGCAUGCAUGGGACUGGAUGUGGUCGAGUGACUGGUAUUGUUUUUGCCGGCCAACCUCGACAUGUAACUCCUAACUUCAGCUGAUGCCAGAGGCACCAAGGGAGCCGACGCGCCGACUCCUGCUGAUUGUAAACACACAACACAUGCAUUCCACACACACAAGCUGCAUGAUGUGUGUUUAUGUCCCACUGUGUGUGUGUGUGUGUGUGUGUGUGUGUGUGUGUGUGUGUGUGUGUGUGUGUGUGUGUGUGUGUGUGUGUGUGUGUGUGUGUGUGUGUGUGUGUGUGUGUGUGUUACUUGCUCAUCAACCGUUGUGUUUACUGAUUGUUUGUAAAGUUAAUCUUGUGUACAAGUGAGGUUUCACUUUGUGGCGACGUGAUCUGCUGUGCGCAAAUGUUUUACAAUGUAUCCAAGAUAUGUCCG
This 687-nucleotide long non-coding RNA is filed under the name Cyclopterus lumpus (lumpfish). Its description in RNAcentral is "lncRNA (ENSCLMG00005013625.1)". The record is from RNAcentral. Lineage: Eukaryota; Metazoa; Chordata; Actinopteri; Perciformes; Cyclopteridae.